RNAcentral lists this ribosomal RNA (274 nucleotides) under uncultured bacterium. Its description in RNAcentral is "partial 16S ribosomal RNA". It matches the Rfam family "Bacterial small subunit ribosomal RNA", at positions 523 to 796 of the family's 1533-position model. The record is from RNAcentral.
AUACGGAGGGUGCAAGCGUUACUCGGAAUCACUGGGCGUAAAGCGCGCGCAGGCGGCCUGAUAAGUUGGAUGUGAAAGCCUACGGCUCAACCGUAGAACUGCAUCCAAAACUGUCAGGCUAGAGUGUGGGAGAGGAAGAUGGAAUUAGUUGUGUAGGAGUAAAAUCCGUAGAGAUAACUAGGAAUACCAAAAGCGAAGGCAAUCUUCUGGAACACUACUGACGCUGAGGCGCGAAGGCGUGGGGAGCAAACAGGAUUAGAAACCCGAGUAGUCC